RNAcentral lists this microRNA precursor (91 nucleotides) under Oryza sativa Indica Group (long-grained rice). Its description in RNAcentral is "mir-395 microRNA precursor". Lineage: Eukaryota; Viridiplantae; Streptophyta; Magnoliopsida; Poales; Poaceae. The record is from RNAcentral. RNAcentral also lists the same sequence under 1 other name.
AUUUAAGUAUUUUUAUAGAAGAGAAACUGAUGAAUUGAAAUCAUGUCCAGUACUCGAUCUGUGAUUGAUCAAUUUAUAGUAUGAUUUUCAU